UCUUCAAAAAAGAUCCUUAAGACAUUUAAUUUGAGUCAUCUCACUUAUAUGUUAUUCAACUUCAACUUUUCAUUCAUUUUGGAACUUUUGAGAUUAUAAAAUUUUAUGGGCUCUAGAGAACACGCCAUUAAUAUGGCCAAGGAGGAGAUAAUUAAAAGAGUUAUAAAAUCACCACAAUCUUCUAUCUCUUUCUCUAUCACUGCCAAUUCUUGAGAAGGAGAAACAAGUGAAAGAGCAGGCUGCAAUGUGUAUGCAUCCAAAACAUGUAACAAAACUUUCAUUUCAUUUCACUGCAAAAGAAAAGAAAAAAUGUGGAACGGGUCCUUCAUGAAAACCUUUC
Molecule: long non-coding RNA, 340 nt
Filed under: Medicago truncatula (barrel medic)
Lineage: Eukaryota; Viridiplantae; Streptophyta; Magnoliopsida; Fabales; Fabaceae
Description: lncRNA gene10863
Source: RNAcentral